AUUGAACGCUGGCGGCAGGCCUAACACAUGCAAGUCGAACGAGUGGCGGACGGGUGAGUAAUGUCUGGGAAACUGCCUGAUGGAGGGGGAUAACUACUGGAAACGGUAGCUAAUACCGCAUACCAUCGGAUGUGCCCAGAUGGGAUUAGCUAGUAGGUGGUGUAACGACUCACCUAGGCGACGAUCCCUAGCUGGUCUGAGAGUAUGACAGGCCGCACGGGAAGUGAGACAAGGUCCAGACGCCUUCGGGAGGCAGCAGUGGGAAAUAUUUCAAAAUGGGCGCAAGCCUGAUGCAGCAGUGCAGCGUGUAUGAAGAAGGACUUCGGGUUGUAAAGUGAUUUCAGCGGGGAGGCGUUACCCGCAGAGGAAGCACCGGCUAACUCCGUGCCAGCAGCCGCGGUAAUUC
Molecule: ribosomal RNA, 406 nt
Filed under: uncultured bacterium
Lineage: Bacteria
Description: partial 16S ribosomal RNA
Rfam family: Bacterial small subunit ribosomal RNA
Source: RNAcentral